This is an RNA transcript of Solanum pennellii, 1263 nucleotides long. It is a transcript of the gene named 25.3 kDa vesicle transport protein, with no coding region annotated. The transcript has 6 exons. NCBI's taxonomy places the organism in Eukaryota, Viridiplantae, Streptophyta, Magnoliopsida, Solanales, Solanaceae. The record is from RefSeq and is a predicted model, not a curated record.
AUUCUUUAGUCUUAUUUCCUUUCUCCUUCACCAUAUUAAUUGCCAAAAACUUAUCUACAAUUCUCUCACAAAUACUAUAUCACAAAUCAAAGCCAACGAAAAAGAUAAAAAAAGAACUUUCUAGUAGUAUUUUGUUAUUAAUUAAGGGAUGGUGAAGGUGACAAUUAUAGGGAGGGUAAGUGAUGGGAUGCCCUUAGCACAAGGUCCAAGAUUACAUGAAGAGAAUAAUGAUGUUUUAACAACUUACAAGAAACAAGCUGAGUUCAUUCUCAAGGAAAUUUCUUUACAAGCCUUGCCAUCUAACAAGAUGACCAUUCUUCUAGAUCACCAUUGCUUCAACUACAUGGUUGAGAAUGGGAUUUGCUACCUGACAUUAUGCGAAUCGUCGUAUCCAAGAAAGCUUGCCUUCCAUUAUCUACAAGAUUUGCAGCAGGAGUUUGAAAGAUUAGAUAGCAGCCUUGUUGACAGGAUUACAAAACCAUAUACCUUCAUUAAACUUGACACUAUCAUUGGCAACAUUAGGAAGCAAUAUGUGGAUACAAGAACACAGGCAAAUUUAUCUAAACUAAAUGCUCAUCGUCAAAAAGAUUUAGAUAUCGCGACAGAGGAAUUAUCACUAAUAACAGAGAGAAGGCGAAGAAUAGAAAUGAUGGAACGAAUGAUGGAGGCUCAUAUAAGUACUUCUCCUAUUUGGGAGUCCAAAAGGCUUGAGAUCAUCGCGCUGAAAUGGACACCAAUUACAAUCCUUCUUGUUGUUGCUUCUGUUCUUCUAUGGACUGGCUUAAUCCUCCAAGAUGAUUUUCGAUAAUGGUGAACUGAACUUUGGGCUUUCUAAAGCCAUAGUCAAGAAAGUGGACAUAAAGCAACUAACAAAUUGUUCAUAUUGUUAUUAUUGGGAUUUGAUGCCUCAUUCAUAUAUGUCCAGCAGAUCGAUCGAUCACUUCAUAUGGAAUGAAUUAGACUUUGUACACCAUGAAAUACAAGAAAAAGGAGAAGGCAUCUACAGUAAAAAUGCGCGUUUAACACUAGACCUUUUGCUGAUGAAGAAAUUAAACAGGUAACCAAACAGUAUGGUUCCUACUUUUAUUACCUCUUCUAUUUUUGUAUAAAAUUCUAAAAAACAGAACUCAUCAUAUGUACAUCACAUCGUCGUUAAUAUUGAACUCCCCUGACAUAAAAUCCUCAAAUCCGUUACCAGACAAUGUAUCCUCAAACUUGAGUUGUGGUGGGAAAAUAUCAUUGUGAACCUCUUGAUUUACGCCA